Molecule: transfer RNA, 75 nt
Filed under: Sphingobacteriales bacterium
Lineage: Bacteria; Pseudomonadati; Bacteroidota; Sphingobacteriia; Sphingobacteriales
Also listed under: 1 other name
Description: tRNA-Trp
Rfam family: tRNA
About the family: Transfer RNA (tRNA) molecules are approximately 80 nucleotides in length. Their secondary structure includes four short double-helical elements and three loops (D, anti-codon, and T loops). Further hydrogen bonds mediate the characteristic L-shaped molecular structure. tRNAs have two regions of fundamental functional importance: the anti-codon, which is responsible for specific mRNA codon recognition, and the 3' end, to which the tRNAs corresponding amino acid is attached (by aminoacyl-tRNA synthetases). tRNAs cope with the degeneracy of the genetic code in two manners: having more than one tRNA (with a specific anti-codon) for a particular amino acid; and 'wobble' base-pairing, i.e. permitting non-standard base-pairing at the 3rd anti-codon position.
Source: RNAcentral
ACGGGUAUCGUACAACGGUUAGUAUAGAGGUCUCCAAAACCUUCGAUCUGGGUUCGAAUCCUAGUACCCGUGCUA